This 374-nucleotide ribosomal RNA is filed under the name uncultured soil bacterium. Its description in RNAcentral is "bacterial SSU rRNA". It matches the Rfam family "Bacterial small subunit ribosomal RNA", at positions 26 to 381 of the family's 1533-position model. The record is from RNAcentral.
AGGGUGAACGCUGGCGGCAGGCCUAACACAUGCAAGUCGAACGGCAGCACAGAGGAGCUUGCUCCUUGGGUGGCGAGUGGCGGACGGGUGAGGAAUACAUCGGAAUCUGCCUUAUUGUGGGGGAUAACGUAGGGAAACUUACGCUAAUACCGCAUACGACCCCGCAUCGAGAGAUACGAGGUGAAAGCGGAGGACCUUCGGGCUUCGCGCGAUAAGAUGAGCCGAUGUCGGAUUAGCUUGUGGUGGGUAAGCCCACAAGGCGACGAUCCGUAGCUGGUCUGAGGAGGAUGAUCGACGCCACACCUGGAACUGAGACACGGUCCAGACUGAGUACGGGAGCAGCAGGUAGGGAAUAGUGGACAAGUGGACGACAA